RNAcentral lists this long non-coding RNA (2471 nucleotides) under Junco hyemalis (dark-eyed junco). RNAcentral's name for it is "lncRNA (ENSJHYG00000008257.1)". The record is from RNAcentral. Lineage: Eukaryota; Metazoa; Chordata; Aves; Passeriformes; Passerellidae.
CCUUAAUCCUAGCAAUUCCAGCUCCAUUAUCCUGGGAAUUCUACCUCCACAAUCCCAGGAAUUCCAGCUCCAUAAUCCCAGUCUCUCAGGGCUGUGGAAUUCCCUCUCCAUUAUCCCAGGCUCUCAAGGCUCUGUAAUCCCAGGAAUUCCCGCCCCGUUAUCCCAGAAUCCCGACUCCGUUAUCCCAGUCUCUCAGGGCUCUGUUAUUCAGGAAUUCCCGCUCCGUUAUCGCAGAAUUCCAGCUCUGUUAUUCUAGAAUUCCAUCUCUGCCACCCACUCAGUCAUCCCAGUCUUUCAGGGCUCCAUUGUCCUGGAACUCCCGCUCUGUUAUCCCAGAAUUCCCGCUCCAUCGUUACUUUUCCCGGCAUUCCCGCUCUCCCCUCAGGGCUCUGUUAUCCCGUCCUUCCCGCUGUGUUAUCCCUCACCAUUCCCGCUCUCCCGGCCAUUCCCGCAGUGUUAUCCCGGCAUUCCCGAGCUGUCCCUCAUUCCCGCUCUUAUCCCGGCUACUCCCGCUGUCCCUCAGGGCUGUGUUAUCCCGUCAUUCCCCCUCUGUUAUCCCAUCAUUCCUGAGCUGUCCCUCAGCAUUCCCGAGCUGUGCCCUGUCCCUCAUUCCCACUCUCCCGGCAUUAUUCCCGUUAUCCAAUCCCUCAUUCCCGCUCUCCCGUUCCCGGCAUUCCCGCAGCUGCAGCAGGGCAGCGACGAUGGCGGCCGCCGGGGGGCGCAUGCGCAGAAGAGCUCCAGCACGGGCCGCUGCCAGGGCAUUCCCGCUCUGUUAUCCUAUCCCUCAUUAUUCCCGCUGUGUUAUCCCGGCUAUCCCCGCUGUCCCUCAUCAUUCCCAGCCCGUUAUCCCGCCUCUCAUUCCCGCUCUCCCCCCGGCUGUUCCCGUUAUUCCCGCAGCUGCUGCAGCGCAGCGACGAUGGCGGCCGCCAGGGGGCGCAUGCGCAGAAGAGCUCCCGCACGGGCCGCUGCCAGGGCAUUCCCGCUGUGUUAUCCCACCCCUCACUCCCGCUGUCCCCCACCCCUCAUUCCCGCUGUGUUAUCCCGGCUAUCCCCGCCGUCCCGCACCAUUCCCACCCCGUUAUCCCGGCAUUAUUCCCGUAAUUAUCCCGCCCCUCAUUCCCGCUCUCCCCCCGGCUGUUGUUCCCGGCAUUCCCGCAGCUGCAGCAGCGCAGUGACGAUGGCGGCCGCCGGGGGGCGCCGCGGGGGCUCGCGGGCGGUGCAUGCGCAGAAGAGCUCCCGCACGGGCGCCUGUGAGGGCUCCUGCGCCGCCUCCGCGGGCAGCGGCGGCCGCGAGCCCAGCGCGGCCUGGUACGCGGCCUCGUCCAGGGAAUCCUCCGAGCACGAAUCCUCUGGGAUAACGGGAAGCAGGGACAGGGAGACAAGGGAGAGAGGGAGCGGCUGUUGGGAGCGGGUACCGGGAAUAAUCCCGACCCCGAUCCCAGCCCGCCGCUUCCUGAUGCUCCCAGCGUGAUCCCAAGCUUUCCUUGGGCACUCCCAGCAAUUCUCUGGGAAUUCCAGCCCAGCCCCUCCUCACCCUCCCAGCCAGCAAUUCCCUUCUGAGAUCCCAAGAUCCAAAAACGCCAAAACCCCAAAAUCCCAACCCUCUGGAAUGGUGGCAGGGAGCGGGAAUCCCGGCCCCAAUCCCAGCCCGGCGUUUCCUGAACUUCCCAGAGUGAUCCUGACACUGCACCUCCUCACCUUCCCAGCCAGGAAUUCCUUCCCAAAAUCCCAAAAGCCCAAGAUCCCAAAAUCCCACCCCUCUGGAAUCCUGGGAAGGAGCAGCCGUCGGCAGCGGAUCCAGGGAAUCCCAGCCCAGCACUUCAUGAUGUACCCAGGGUGAUCCCAACCUUUCCUUGGACCCUCUUGGCAAUCCUCCGGAAAUUCCAGCUCAGCCCCUCCUCACCCAUCCCAGUCGGGAAUUCCUUGCUAAAAUUCCAAAAUCCCGAAACGCCAAUAUCCCAAAAUCCCAACCCUCUGGAAUGGCACGAGGGAGUGGCUGUUGGGAGCGGGUCCGGGAACAAUCCCAGCCCCAAUCCCAGCCCAGCGCUUCCUGAUGUUCCCAGGGUGAUCCUGACGUUGCCAGGGAUCCUCUGGGAAUUCCAGCCUCUCCUCAUCCUCGCAGACAGGAAUUCCUUCCCAAAAUCCCAAGAUCCCAAAAUCCCAACCCUCUGCAAUGGCGGCAGGGAGCGGCCGUUGGGAGCAGAUCCCAGGAAUCCUGCCCUGAUCCCAGCCUGGCGCUUCCUGAUGUUCCCAGGGUCCUACCCUUUCCUUGGACACCCCACGGGAUUCUCUGGAAUUCCAGCCCAGACAGGAAUCCCUUCCCAAGAUCCCAAAAUCCCAAAAUCCCCAAAUCCCGACCCUCUGGCCAUGGUGGGAGCCAUUCCCUGUCCUGCCAUUCCAGGCCCUUUUCCCAAAUCCCUCUCCAGCUCUCCUGGGUUGGAUCCAGCCCCAUCCCAGCUCCUCCUUGAGAG